GAACAGGAAGUGCUACAUCUGCGACAGUGCUCAGCACAUGGCGAAAGAGUGUCCCCAGAGGCUCCACAAGCACACUGCAGCCUCAGCAACAGUAACAGAAGCAACUCAGCAGAGAGAACCACAGCAGGGAAACGACAGAGUCUGGUUGGAGGAAGAGGCACUGGGGCCCAACCAGACAAGUCAAUGAAGCCGUCCCCAGAGAUUUUGCAGCCCACAGACCCCCUCCCGCCCAAACCAGUGGUGCAGCUCACAGCAUCGCUCCAACUACCCAAUGGACUCACUAUGGAAGUGCCGAUUACCAUUGACUCUGGUAGUAACGCAGACUUCAUAGGACUGGAUUUCCUUCAAGAGCACAACAUAGCACUCCUGCCAGCCACGCUGCCUCUGAAAGUUGUCACGGUGGAUGGCAGGGAAUUGCUGGGGGCAGGUGGUGCAGCAAACGCCUCCGAUGGUGAUGCAAAUUGGGAAUCACCGAGAAGUCAUCAGCUUCAAUGUCACCCAACUGUCGGACACGCCUAUAGUAUUAGGCAUGAGUUGGCUGCACAGGCACAGCCCAGCAUUGGCGUGGUACCAGCGACAACUGACCUUCGGCUCCUCAUACUGUGCGGAACAUUGCAUUCUGCCUAGCCCGGAAGGGGAAGAGGAUGACCCGCAGCUACAAUUAGGCACGCUGCAAGCAGUGCCACUCAAGUACGCAGCGUUUUUGGAGGUUUUCUGCGAGAAGGAAGCGGACAAGCUACCUCCCCACAGGUCUUAUGACUGCAAGAUUGACCUCCUGCCAGGGGCGACGCUGCCAACCGGGAAACUGUAUUCCAUGUCUGAAGACGAGCUGCAGGAACUCAGGGAGUUCAUAGACCUCAACUUGAAGCGCGGUUUCAUCCAGGAGUCGAAGGCAGUGGGGGGCAGUCCUGUAUUCUUUGUGAAGAAGAAGGACACGCCCCAAAAAAGGCUUGUGGUGGACUAUAGAAUUUUGAACUCGAAAACCAAGCCCACAGCCUUUCCCAUGCCCAAGAUAGAUGACCUGCUCGCAACGGUGAGGAAAGGACGCGUUUUCACAAAGUUGGAUCUGCGAGGGGCGUACAACCUGAUUCGCAUACGGGAGGGCGACGAAUGGAAGACUGCCAUGUUCACGCCCUGGGCACCUAUGAAUACAGAGUUAUGCCCUUUGGAUUACAAAAUGGCUCCCACUGUUUUCAAGCCUUCAUGCAUCACGUAUUGGCGGGUCUCCUCUACAAGAAAUGCGUCUGCUUCCUGGACGACAUCCUGAUAUUUUCAGAAUCAGAGGAGACCCACGAGGGAGACGUCAAGGAAGUUCUGCAGAGACUGCAGGAGCACAGGCUGUACGCCAAGCUGGAGAAGUGCCAGUUCGACAUGAAGGAGGUAGAUUUCCUGGGCUACAAGUUGUCGGACAAGGGGCUCGCCAUGGACAGCGCCAAGGUUCGCUCAGUGUUGGACUGGAAGAGCCCGCGCAAUCGGAAGGAGGUCCAGCGGUUUGUCGGUUUCGCCAACUUUUACCGCAAGUUCAUCAAGGGGUUCGCGAUGCAGACGGCGGCCAUUACCGACACGCUCAGCUCCAAGAAGAAGAAGUUCAUCUGGACGGAGCAAGCGGAGCAGUCCUUUCAGAAACUCAAGCCGUCUCUUCUCGUCCGAAGAGCAGCUACUGCAUGUGAAUCCCAGCAGACCGAUGAGGGUUGGAAACGGACGCCUCAGACAGAGCCGUGGGAGCAGUACUGUUGCAGCAAGACCCGCAUGGGGACUGGAGACCGUGUGCCUUCUACUCCAGGAAGCUCAGCAAGUCAGAGCAGAACUACACCAUCUGGGACAGGGAGUUGCUGGCCAUUCAUGCAGCAUUCAAGGCGUGGCGGCACUUCCUCAUUGGAGCCAAACACACAGUGCAGGUCCGCACGGACCAUAAAAACCUGGAGUACUGGCGCACGGCAAGGUUCCUGGAACCAGAGGCACAUACGAUGGGCGGAGUUCUUUGCGGAUUUCGACUUCAGGAUAGAGUACAUCCCAGGCGACAACAACAUCAUGGCGGAUGCACUGUCCAGAAAGCCGCAAUACCUCGAGGAGGCGGCACCAGCAGCGGCCAAGCACAUUUUCGCACCGAAAGCGUGGGCGUGCGCUUCAGCAACCGUGGACCUGGAUGCUGUACGUCGAGCACUGCAGGAGGACCCCUUCGCGCAAGCAAAGAUGGCAGAGGUGCAAAGGGGCACGGCGGAGGACGACGAGUUCCAGAUACGCGACGGAUUGCUCAUCCGCAGAGGGGCCCUCUACGUACCGGGAGACGACCUCCGCGCGAAAGUACUGCAGCAGUUGCACGACGCACCCACCGCCGGGCACUUUGGCAAAGAGAAGACGGUAGAAUUAGUAGCCAGAGAUUUUUGGUGGCCCAAGAUGCGGGGGGGAAGUCGCGGAUUACGUCUCGAGGUGCGACACCUGCCAAAGGGCCAAGUCAGUGCACAAACAGCCGGCGGGACUGCUCGAACCGCUGCAGACACCGCUCGAACCGUGGGAGAGGGUGGCCCUGGACUUUGUCACGGAUCUACCCAGCUCGAGGGGCAAGACGGCAGUGCUAGUGGUGGUGGACAUGUUCACCAAAAUGGCCCACUUCAUUCCGUGCGCGAAGGUGGCCACGGCGGAACAGACCGCCAAACUGUUCAUAGACCACGUGUUCAGGGUUCACGGUCUGCCACGGUCCAUCCUGUCCGACCGGGGCGACAGUUCAUCUCGAACUUCUGGCAGAAGCUGAUGGGUUUCCUGAACGUCAAGAUCAACCUAGCGUCGGCGAGACACCCGCAGACGAACGGACAAGCGGAGCGAGUCAACGCCAUCAUGCAGCAGUACCUGCGAUGCUACGCAAAUCAGCAGCCGGCAACAUGGGUGGACUACCUGCCGCUCGCUGAGUUCGCCUACAACAACACGAAGCACGUGUCCACGGGGGUGACACCGUUCUUCGCCAACAACGGGAGGCAUCCCAGAACCUUCCCGGGAUUAGCGAGAGCGGGGGAGGGGGAGCCACAGGCAGCGGAAGCCUUAGCAUCAGAGUUGCAGGAGGUUCACGAACAGCUUCGGAGGCAGUUAGAACUAGCAAAGCACGCAUACAAACUGCAGGCUGACAAGCACAGAAGGGUUGGGGAAGACAUACAGGUGGGAGACUGGGUUUGGUUAGCAGCCCAGGCAGUGCCGGCCAGAUCGUUAGCGAAGAAGAAGCUAGGGCAUAAGCAGCUAGGACCCUACCAAGUCGAGGCACAGGUCAAUCCAGUGGCCUUCCGGUUGACACUGCCGGAGGGAUCCAGAAUGCACCCAGUUUUCCAUAGAUCAGUGCUCACGCCCUACAAAGCACCUCAUAGAUUUCAGGAGCCAGGAACGGCACCAGACCCGUUCAGGGAAACGCCCACAAGGGGGGGGUCGCCAAGGCGGGAACCCGUCAACGAAGUCACAGAGAUUUUAGACUCGAGAUGGGGGGAGGAGGGAGUGGAAUACCUCCUCGCCAAGGAAGGUAACACGGCUAGCGCCAACAGUUGGGUGCCAGAUUAUGCUCUGGAGGAAUCUUGGCUUAAGGACGAGUUCCAUGCACUUUUCCCACACAGGCCCAUGCCAGCCGAGUAUUUCGACGACUGGCUUUUCACACCCACAUUUUCAGCUAGCACAUUCCAGGGGUUCACCUCGGACGAGGAACCGGCACUAGAAACACGUUCCCGGAGGGAUCACCCUCGGGUCUGCCUCAGACCGUUCCUAUUGGUGGGACAAUCAACCAGAGGAGCAGUGGCGCAGGAAGUGGUUGGGGGGUCCUUGGCAGGCAACGUCCCCGGAGGAGACCGGGGAGAGACGGACAUGGACGUGUUGGGGGAGGACCUUGGGUCGAGCACGGCGGCAAAGAGAUGGAAGCAGAGGAAAUUGAGGUCGGCGAGAGCACGGAGGACGAGCCGGACUUAUCCGGCUGGAUGCACGCCACGGGGGACGAACUGUAUCCGGCACUCACCCCCACAACGACGGAGCACCCAGUACCCACACCUGAAGGAGGGGUGGGGGGAUGGGGGGGCUUCGAGGGGGGGAUGGAUGUCAGGGGUUCAGGAGCAGAGGCACAGGAAAGGGAGGAAAUAGAGAGCGAGGGGGAGGAGUCCGAAGGAAAUGUUAGCGAUGACAGCGGUCCGAGGUCUCUGAGUCUUUCCAGCGAAUCGGAAGAUUCACAGAAAGGGGCUCCCUUGGUCAGAGCAAGGGGGUGCCGAGGGGGACACCCCAGGAAGAAGGGGCCAGAGGGGACUCAGAGAGCAGCAGUUGGAAAUCAGGACCAGCGUCCACACCAGAGUGCAGUAGGGGGGAGGAGUCCCAGGCAUCGGGAUCAGGCGGCGCACUGCCAGUGGGAGGACAUGAGUCAGGAUUGGCCACGCCUCCAUCGGGGAGCGAGGAAACGGUCGAGAGGAAGGUUGAAGGCUGGGCGCGCGCGCCAAGUUCAAAUGUACAGGAGGGCGGCGCAGUUGGCAGCCCGGAUAGGGAGCCAGGUCCCAAAGCCCGCCGAAAAGAGGGGGAGGAGUCAGGAGGGUCAGCGUCAGAAGAAUCCAGGAAGGAAGGGACCCCGGGGGGUAGCAGGACCCAGAGGAGAAAGGAGAGACGUAAGAGGUGGAGUAAGGCUAGAAUCUUAAACUGGUGUACAGGGGGCGGAGACUCAGAUGGAGCUUCGCCGAUCUAACCCCUAGACGUAGAGCUGGGGCGCUCCGGCUUGAAAAUGGAAACUGUACUUCAAUAAAGACUUUUGUACAUU
Molecule: non-coding RNA, 4765 nt
Organism: Podarcis lilfordi (Lilford's wall lizard)
Lineage: Eukaryota; Metazoa; Chordata; Lepidosauria; Squamata; Lacertidae
Source: the annotation of a GenBank genome assembly